AUGAACGCUAGCGGCAGGCCUAACACAUGCAAGUCGAGGGAGGAGCUUUCGGGCUUCGACCGGCGUACGGGUGCGUAACGCGUAUACAAUCUGCCUUUCACAUAGGGAUAGCCCGAAGAAAUUUGGAUUAAUACCUAAUGGUAUAUAGGAGUGGCAUCACAUUUAUAUUAAAGCUGAGGCGGUGAAAGAUGAGUAUGCGUUCUAUUAGCUAGUUGGAGAGGUAACGGCUCCCCAAGGCGACGAUAGAUAGGGGUUCUGAGAGGGAUAUCCCCCACACUGGUACUGAGAUACGGACCAGACUCCUACGGGAGGCAGCAGUGAGGAAUAUUGGACAAUGGUCGGAAGACUGAUCCAGCCAUGCCGCGUGCAGGAAGACGGCCUUAUGGGUUGUAAACUGCUUUUGCAGGGGAAGAAUAAGGACUACGAGUAGUUUGAUGACGGUACUCUGCGAAUAAGCAGCGGCUAACUCCGUGC
RNAcentral lists this ribosomal RNA (474 nucleotides) under uncultured bacterium. RNAcentral describes it as "partial 16S ribosomal RNA". It matches the Rfam family "Bacterial small subunit ribosomal RNA", at positions 29 to 508 of the family's 1533-position model. The record is from RNAcentral.